AUGAACGCUGGCGGCGUGCCUAAUACAUGCAAGUCGAGCGAACAGACGAGGAACUUGCUCCUCUGACGUUAGCGGCGGACGGGUGAGUAACACGUGGAUAACCUACCUAUAAGACUGGGAUAACUUCGGGAAACCGGAGCUAAUACCGGAUAAUAUAUUGAACCGCAUGGUUCAAUAGUGAAAGACGGUUUUGCUGUCACUUAUAGAUGGAUCCGCGCCGCAUUAGCUAGUUGGUAAGGUAACGGCUUACCAAGGCAACGAUGCGUAGCCGACCUGAGAGGGUGAUCGGCCACACUGGAACUGAGACACGGUCCAGACUCCUACGGGAGGCAGCAGUAGGGAAUCUUCCGCAAUGGGCGAAAGCUUGACGGAGCAACGCCGCGUGAGUGAUGAAGGUCUUCGGAUCGUAAAACUCUGUUAUUAGGGAAGAACAAAUGUGUAAGUAACUAUGCACGUCUUGACGGUACCUAAUCAGAAAGCCACGGCUAACUACGUG
Molecule: ribosomal RNA, 496 nt
Filed under: uncultured bacterium
Lineage: Bacteria
Description: partial 16S ribosomal RNA
Rfam family: Bacterial small subunit ribosomal RNA
Source: RNAcentral